Molecule: ribosomal RNA, 253 nt
Filed under: uncultured bacterium
Lineage: Bacteria
Description: partial 16S ribosomal RNA
Rfam family: Bacterial small subunit ribosomal RNA
Source: RNAcentral
UACGUAGGGACCGAGCGUUGUCCGGAAUCAUUGGGCGUAAAGAGCGUGUAGGCGGCCAACUAAGUCCUGCGUGAAAUCUCGGGGCUCAACCCCGAGCGGUCGUGGGAAACUGGUUGGCUAGAGUGCGGGAGAGGAGAGUGGAAUUCCUGGUGUAGCGGUGAAAUGCGCAGAUAUCAGGAAGAACACCCGUGGCGAAAGCGGCUCUCUGGAACGGUACUGACGCUGAGACGCGAAAGCGUGGGGAGCGAACAGG